AGAGUUUGAUCCUGGCUCAGGACGAACGCUGGCGGCGCGCCUAACACAUGCAAGUCGAACGAGAGAUGAGGAGCUUGCUCUUCAAAUCGAGUGGCGAACGGGUGAGUAACGCGUGAGGAACCUGCCUCAAAGAGGGGGACAACAGUUGGAAACGACUGCUAAUACCGCAUAAGCCCACGGCUCGGCAUCGAGCAGAGGGAAAAGGAGCAAUCCGCUUUGAGAUGGCCUCGCGUCCGAUUAGCUAGUUGGUGAGGUAACGGCCCACCAAGGCGACGAUCGGUAGCCGGACUGAGAGGUUGAACGGCCACAUUGGGACUGAGACACGGCCCAGACUCCUACGGGAGGCAGCAGUGGGGAAUAUUGCACAAUGGGGGAAACCCUGAUGCAGCGACGCCGCGUGGAGGAAGAAGGUCUUCGGAUUGUAAACUCCUGUUGUUGAGGAAGAUAAUGACGGUACUCAACAAGGAAGUGACGGCUAACUACGUGCCAGCAGCCGCGGUAAAACGUAGGUCGCAAGCGUUGUCCGGAAUUACUGGGUGUAAAGGGAGCGCAGGCGGGAGAACAAGUUGGAAGUGAAAUCCAUGGGCUCAACCCAUGAACUGCUUUCAAAGCUGUUUUUCUUGAGUAGUGCAGAGGUAGGCGGAAUUCCCGGUGUAGCGGUGGAAUGCGUAGAUAUCGGGAGGAACACCAGUGGCGAAGGCGGCCUACUGGGCACCAACUGACGCUGAGGUUCGAAAGUGUGGGUAGCAAACAGGAUUAGAUACCCUGGUAGUCCACACCGUAAACGAUGAUUACUAGGUGUUGGAGGAUUGACCCCUUCAGUGCCGCAGAUAACACAAUAAGUAAUCCACCUGGGGAGUACGGCCGCAAGGUUGAAACUCAAGGGAAUUGACGGGGGCCCGCACAAGCAGUGGAGUAUGUGGUUUAAUUCGACGCAACGCGAAGAACCUUACCAAGUCUUGACAUCCCUUGACGAUGCUGGAAACAGUAUUUCUCUUCGGAGCAAGGAGACAGGUGGUGCAUGGUUGUCGUCAGCUCGUGUCGUGAGAUGUUGGGUUAAGUCCCGCAACGAGCGCAACCCUUAUGGUCAGUUACUACGCAAGAGGACUCUGGCCAGACUGCCGUUGACAAAACGGAGGAAGGUGGGGAUGACGUCAAAUCAUCAUGCCCUUUAUGACUUGGGCUACACACGUACUACAAUGGCGUUAAACAAAGAGAAGCAAGACCGCGAGGUGGAGCAAAACUCAGAAACAACGUCCCAGUUCGGACUGCAGGCUGCAACUCGCCUGCACGAAGUCGGAAUUGCUAGUAAUCGUGGAUCAGCAUGCCACGGUGAAUACGUUCCCGGGCCUUGCACACACCGCCCGUCA
Molecule: ribosomal RNA, 1370 nt
Filed under: uncultured bacterium
Lineage: Bacteria
Description: bacterial SSU rRNA
Rfam family: Bacterial small subunit ribosomal RNA
Source: RNAcentral